Molecule: RNA transcript, 853 nt
Organism: Gossypium raimondii (Peruvian cotton)
Lineage: Eukaryota; Viridiplantae; Streptophyta; Magnoliopsida; Malvales; Malvaceae
Exons: 2
Source: RefSeq, a predicted model, not a curated record
UCUCCCAAUUUGUUUGCCAAUUCUGUAUUGUUCUUUUCACUCUUCUGCCACACUUCCCGCCCCCUCUCUCUCUCUCUCCCAUGUACAUUAAUGCUUAGACCACCACCCACCACCACAUACACCAAUUUAUGAAACCUUCCCUUCCUUUUCUUCCUACUCACUUUUCUCAUCGCUGACCCUAUUUCUUCUCUAUCUUGCUUUGGAUUUUUUACUUCGCAGCAGAAGUAAGUUAGUUUCAUAUGUACUUGAAGUUAGAGUUCCAUUACUAUUCCCAUCUUUUUAGUUUACUUCCUUGGUUACAUGAAACCUUUUCAUCAUCAUGACCUCACUUGUUUCUCCCCUCCUUAACACCUUCACAUUUCUUUUGGCCCUUUCCUUUCUUCUUCUUUCCUCUCCAACCUCUUCCCUUGUUCAGGGUUUAUAUUUUGAAGACAAAACAAGGUUGGGAUCAACUCCUCCAAGCUGCCACAACAGAUGUAAUGGAUGCCACCCUUGCAAGGCAGUUCAAGUACCUACUACACCAUUACUUAGCCAUUACCACCAAUUUCAACCACCUAGUUCGAGCAAAGCAAUCACUAAUCCCAUGGAGGUUUUUUACCCAUCAUCAGGCAGUCAAUACUCUAAUUACAAGCCCCUUGGUUGGAAAUGCCACUGUGAUGAUCACUUUUACAACCCUUGAAAAAGAUCAAGACUUUUAGCAUGUAGAAGAAAAUUGUUUAAUAGGUGAUUUUGGUGUGUUUCUGGGAAGUUUUUUCUUCAGAUUUUUAGCAUUAAUGUAUACAUUAUUGUAUCUUAUAAUCAUUAUGUACAUAACUUAAUUCUCCUCAACUUAGCUUUUGAUUUUGUCCGCUUC